UGGGGAAUAUUGCACAAUGGGCGAAAGCCUGAUGCAGCAACGCCGCGUGAGCGAUGAAGGCUUUCGAGUCGUAAAGCUCUGUCCUAAGGGAAGAUAAUGACGGUACCUUAGGAGGAAGCCCCGGCUAACUACGUGCCAGCAGCCUCGGUAAUACGUAGGGGGCGAGCGUUAUCCGGAAUCAUUGGGCGUAAAGGGUGCGUAGGCGGCCCUAUAGGUCAGAGGUCAAAGGCUACGGCUCAACCGUAGUAAGCCUUUGAAACUGUAGGGCUUGAGUGCAGGAGAGGAGAGUGGAAUUCCUAGUGUAGCGGUGAAAUGCGUAGAUAUUAGGAGGAACACCAGUGGCGAAGGCGACUCUCUGGACUGCAACUGACGCUGAGGCACGAAAGCGUGGGGAGCGAACAG
This 402-nucleotide ribosomal RNA is filed under the name uncultured bacterium. RNAcentral's name for it is "bacterial SSU rRNA". It matches the Rfam family "Bacterial small subunit ribosomal RNA", at positions 355 to 775 of the family's 1533-position model. The record is from RNAcentral.